UCUAUCGAAGGGAAGAUGGCUGUGAAACUCAUUAGAAUAACACAUUAUCUAUGUUAGUCAACGUUUAUUCAUAAAUCUGGCCUUUCACCGUCACGUGUGUAUUGUAUUUUUACCAAAUCUACCAAUAGGGGGGAGGGGGAAUAGCAAUUUCCAAUUUCCCUAUUGUUUGAGUCACGGAUAAGUGACUUUCCUAAAAUAUUGCCAUUGGUUUGUUGGGCAAAAAUACAACACACACGUGACGGGGAAAGACCAGGUUUAUGAAUAAAUGUUGACCAACAUAGAUAACGAGUUAUAUUGUUGUUCUGAUGAGUUUCACAGCCAUCUUUCCUUCGAUAAG
Molecule: non-coding RNA, 337 nt
Organism: Paramuricea clavata
Lineage: Eukaryota; Metazoa; Cnidaria; Anthozoa; Malacalcyonacea; Plexauridae
Source: the annotation of a GenBank genome assembly